Molecule: ribosomal RNA, 459 nt
Filed under: uncultured bacterium
Lineage: Bacteria
Description: partial 16S ribosomal RNA
Rfam family: Bacterial small subunit ribosomal RNA
Source: RNAcentral
GCUACGGGUGGCAGCAGUGAGGAAUAUUGGUCAAUGGGCGGGAGCCUGAACCAGCCAAGUCGCGUGAGGGACGACGGUCCUAUGGAUUGUAAACCGCUUUUGUCGGGGAACAAAGGCGCCCACGGGUGGGCGGAUGAGUGUACCCGAAGAAAAAGCAUCGGCUAACUCCGUGCCAGCAGCCGCGGUAAGACGGGGGAUGCGAGCGUUAUCCGGUUUUAGUGGGUUUGAAGGGUGCGUAGGCGGACAGUCAAGUCAGCGGUAAAACUGCGGGGCUCACCGCCGGACAGCCGUUGAAACUGGCAGUCUUGAGUGGGCGAGAGGUAUGCGGAAUGCUUUGUGUAGCGGUGCAAUGCCUAGCUAUCACGCAGAACUCCGAUUGCGAAGGCAGCAUACCGGCGCCCGACUGACGCUGAGGCACGAAAGCGUGGGUAUCGAACAGGAUUAGAUACCCUAGUAGUC